RNAcentral lists this long non-coding RNA (377 nucleotides) under Homo sapiens (human). RNAcentral's name for it is "HSALNT0293125". Lineage: Eukaryota; Metazoa; Chordata; Mammalia; Primates; Hominidae. The record is from RNAcentral.
UCUGAACCCUACACCAUGGAUGGAAGUUAAGUCUGGAGUGAAAUACAUCACCGCUUUCCCUGCUCCCGCCGCCAUUAAAAUUGUGUUUGGCAUCUGACCACCAAGAUACAGAUAUUUCCUAGACUGUUUUGCAGCUAGGUACUUAGGUAAGUACUGCCCUGAGAUUGAAUUUAAACCAACGUAUGUAAGCAUAAAUAUUGUGUCCAAAUUGUGUACAACUUCUUGGUCAUCCCUUUAAAACUAAACCUGUUUUCCCAGCACUGCCUCUUUUUCCAUUCUGCAGAUAGUAAUGAAGAUAGGGGCCACCAUUCCCUGUGAAAAUCAAGUGGGAAAGUCCUGAGUCCUUUAAUGACUUUACAGAGGACAGAAUAAACUCC